RNAcentral lists this ribosomal RNA (404 nucleotides) under uncultured Glomeromycotina. Its description in RNAcentral is "SSU rRNA". It matches the Rfam family "Eukaryotic small subunit ribosomal RNA", at positions 671 to 1076 of the family's 1831-position model. The record is from RNAcentral. Lineage: Eukaryota; Fungi; Glomeromycota.
UGGUAUGCACUGGCUUCGCUGAUUCCUCCUUUCUGAAGAACUGUAAUGCCAUUAAUUUGGUGUUGCAGGGAAACAGGACUGUUACUUUGAAAAAAUUAGAGUGUUUAAAGCAGGCUAACGCUUGAAUACAUUAGCAUGGAAUAAUGAAAUAGGACGUUUGAUCCUAUUUUGUUGGUUUCUAGGAUUGACGUAAUGAUUAAUAGGGAUAGUUGGGGGCAUUAGUAUUCAAUUGUCAGAGGUGAAAUUCUUGGAUUUAUUGAAGACUGACUACUGCGAAAGCAUUUGCCAAGGAUGUUUUCAUUAAUCAAGAACGAAAGUUAGGGGAUCGAAGACGAUCAGAUACCGUCGUAGUCUUAACCAUAAACUAUGCCGACUAGGGAUCGGAUGAUGUUAAUUUUUUAAUG